RNAcentral lists this long non-coding RNA (877 nucleotides) under Populus trichocarpa (black cottonwood). RNAcentral describes it as "long non-coding RNA (PTRI_LNC000317)". Lineage: Eukaryota; Viridiplantae; Streptophyta; Magnoliopsida; Malpighiales; Salicaceae. The record is from RNAcentral.
CCUAAAAUUAACGAUCAUGUAAACCUCCAGUGGCCAUCAUAUAAGCAACCACAGGGCUCGAACCUGAGACCACAGAGAAAACAAACUUCUUAAUCUUAAACUAUACCACUGGGUUGGUCACUACCUAGAUGAUUGACCUAAACUGUUUUGAUUGCACGUAAGCAUGUUUGCUUCUACACAAAUAUAGGAGGUGGUUACGAGGCUUUUCUUUUCUUCCAUGUACAUGCUUCUACACAAUGGAUAUAUAGUGAUUGUGUGUUAGAGAAUGCACUAAAGUCAUUGGUACUGCAAAUAUGUACUGUUGAGUACCAAUCUUUGUACUGUUAGGGCCAAGACAUGAAAUUUAAACAACAUAUUUCACAUGGUUGAAAAGCAGGCAAGUGUUUUUUGAUUACUUUCCAAGAACAAAUCAAUCUGACAGGACGAAUCCAAUGAAAAAAGAAAAAGAAAAAAAGAGUCACCGAUGGUGUUAUGACUGGAGUGAAAACAUGACAGAUUAGUUCAUCUCAAGUUACAGCACGCAGCAAUUUUACCUCAAGAAAAUGAAGAGGUUAAAAUUUCAGGAAGAAUCCAAGGGAGGCAUUUAGUCACAGGUGUUGAAAUUGCUUGAUCUUAUCCUCUCAUGUCAUAACAUGAUCCUGUGCUAAUUAAUGGUCCCUACAAAAUCAUUGAUGGCCACACCCCAUAAUAUAGUGAAAUGCACCUUAUCAUUCCCCUAAAGCUGUCAUUAUGGUCUCCUAGCCUCCAGCAUCAUUCAUGCAGGCACACCCCCUUCGGCUUUCAUUACCCCCAUCUUUCCUAGAAACCAAACAGAAUUACCACUUUGAAUCCUACAAAUUAAUCCAUACAAAUCCCACUUUACACAUCAACUGUUUUU